This is a long non-coding RNA of Mizuhopecten yessoensis (Yesso scallop), 1968 nucleotides long. RefSeq lists it as uncharacterized. Lineage: Eukaryota; Metazoa; Mollusca; Bivalvia; Pectinida; Pectinidae. The transcript is spliced from 2 exons. The record is from RefSeq and is a predicted model, not a curated record.
AUAUCGUUAUAAAAUAUACUGGGACGUGAACGUGAAUGGGACACAUGAUAUUGCGAGUACAUACAUAUAAUAAUUUGGAGGCUUGGCAAGCAUAGCUGUACAAUAACAGCACUAGAAAAGACAUUCGAUUCGUAAACAAAGCAAAAGAUACAAUGACAUAAUUACGUACAGACGACCCAGCUAUUCAACAUGGAUACCAUAUGGACCACGAUGUCGUACACGUAUACACGGUACGUGCGAAAGUUAUCUUAGAAGGAAAUGUAUACUUGGGUUUUGCCUACGUCACUUCCGGUUACCUCGGCUUGACACUGGACGUCAACAAGCGUUACCUUAUAACAAAGCCGAUAGGUGAGGUGUGACUCAUACGUAAUCCGAUUGUAAACAAUGGUUAAAUCCUGUUGUGCCUGGGGUUGUACAAACAGACAACAGACAGGUUCAGGAUUAGGUUUCUAUAGAAUACCUACUGAUUUACAGACGAGAGCGAUGGAUACAGGCAAUUCGCCGCGAGGGUUGGACUCCAUCUCUACCUGAUCGUCUUUGCGGGGACCAUUUUAUUACAGGAAAGGCAAAUGCUGUGGACAAGGACCAUCCUGACUUUGUUCCUACAAUAUUAAAGUUCAACGAGUGAAAAGGCUCUUCAACGUUUCGAAAGAUCAACAAGCGUUAGGAAAAGACGUGAAUCUUUUGUAACCUCUGUGGAUCAUAACAAAGUUUCAGAGUCUGUUGAUAGUGGUGAUUGUGGUGACGACGAUGACGACGACGACGACGAAAACAACAAAGGGACACAGACAGAUGGAGAGAAGGAUUUACUUCAACACAAUACACAGCUCAUGGAUGAGGUCACCAGCCUACGUGAGGAGAGAUAUAGCCUCCGAGAGGAAAACCGAAAUCUUCGAUUUGGUGCACAGAAACUUGAGACUGAUGACAGAAAAACAGGCCUGCAGUCAUAUGCAUUGUUUGAGUGUUUGUUUUGGUAUGUGUCUGCGAAGAUGGAAACAGGACCUGUGGAAACAAAACUUCAAUUGAAGGAUGAAAUGUUGCUUGUGCUGAUGAAAUUGAGACUGAAAUUGUGUUUUGAGGAUCUAGCAGACAGGUUUAACAUCGCCAAAGGAACAGCAAGCAAGAUCCUUCACAAGUGGCUUCCGAUUCUCUACAGUAGACUGCAACUGCUCAGCAGGUGGCCGGACAGGGAACAACACUGAGAACAUUAACAUCCACCUUCCAGAAACACUUCAGAAAAGUCAGGUGUGUUAUUGAUUGUAGCGAGAUUUUGAUAGAACGACCUACUUCUUUCAAGGCCAGAUCACAGACCUAUUCAAACUACAAGAAGCCAACACCGUCAAGAUUCUGAUCGGAGUGAUACCAAAUGGCGUGAUAUCAUUUAUUUCGACAUGCUACGGGGGAAAGAUAUAAGACAAGAAAUAACAAAACGUUCUGGGUUUUAUGACAAGUUAGAGUAUGGAGACAUUGUGCUGGCAGACCGGGGAUUUCUGAUAGGAGAUGAACUGGCACUUCGAGGAUGUGAGCUGAUGAUUCCAUCGUUCACACGCGGGAGAAAAACAGCUUACGCAGAAGGAUGUGGAAAUGUCGCGAAGACUUUUAAGGGUCCGAAUCCACAUCGAAAGAGUGAUUGGCACCUGAAGAACAAAUACACGAUUCUCCAAGGAAUUCUCCCAAUUUGCUUGAUAAAACGUGAUGUGGACACAGAGUAUGCAACUGCGGACAAAAUUGUGACCAUUUGUGUAGCACUAACCAACUUGAGUGCGCCAGUGGUUUAAUUUAGAUAUGGACAUUAAUCUGAUAAAAAAUGAUGGACUGAGUCUGAAUGACUUGAACUGAAAUAAAUAAAAAAAUAAGUGACUCCUUUUAAUUGCAUAUAUUUAUAUAUAUGUACAGAUGUACAUUUUAAUAUCAAAACAGACAACAAAGGCAUUAUAAGCUAAUAAAGCAACUAUACAACAAGAACAG